UACGUAGGUCCCGAGCGUUGUCCGGAUUUAUUGGGUGUAAAGGGCGUGUAGGCGGGAGCGCAAGUCAGAUGUGAAAACUCAGGGCUCAACCCUGAGCCUGCAUUUGAAACUGUGUUUCUUGAGUGCUGGAGAGGCAAUCGGAAUUCCGUGUGUAGCGGUGAAAUGCGUAGAUAUACGGAGGAACACCAGUGGCGAAGGCGGAUUGCUGGACAGUAACUGACGCUGAGGCGCGAAAGCGUGGGGAGCAAACAGG
This 253-nucleotide ribosomal RNA is filed under the name uncultured bacterium. RNAcentral's name for it is "partial 16S ribosomal RNA". It matches the Rfam family "Bacterial small subunit ribosomal RNA", at positions 524 to 776 of the family's 1533-position model. The record is from RNAcentral.